RNAcentral lists this transfer-messenger RNA (358 nucleotides) under Thermoleophilia. Its description in RNAcentral is "JAAYAL01 sp012719395 Standard tmRNA". It matches the Rfam family "transfer-messenger RNA". Rfam says of the family: Bacterial tmRNA, also known as 10Sa RNA or SsrA, is named for its dual tRNA and mRNA-like properties. Its role is to liberate the mRNA from a stalled ribosome. To accomplish this part of the tmRNA is used as a reading frame that ends in a translation stop signal. The record is from RNAcentral. RNAcentral also lists the same sequence under 1 other name. Lineage: Bacteria; Bacillati; Actinomycetota.
GGGGGCGACAAGGUUUCGACGGGGCUCAGGUCUGAGUGAGGGUAGCGGGUCGAGAUCCCGGCCGUUCUCGUUAAACAGGCUGGAAACAAACAACUGGCAAGCAAGAACUUGCUCUGGCCGCUUAGCAUAUAGGCAGCCUGUCGCGCCUCUAGCUCUCGCCGGAGAGGGCCGCGGCAUCAUUUAGGCGGGAUCACCUGCGUCGAGUGCCGCCGGCCUCGCAGGGAAACCAAGGUGGCUGGUCAGAGGCACCCGGCUUCCGCGGGGGCCCGAGGCGAGAAAUAAAAGCGGAAGCUACACCCGUACGAAGCCUUCUCCAGACGAGUUUCGGACGCGGGUUCAAUUCCCGCCGCCUCCACCA